AGCUUUAUGGUUAAUUAUAUAAAGUGAGUUCUGCCCGGUGACGUAAAAGUUUAACGGCCGCGGUACUCUGACCGUGCAAAGGUAGCAUAAUCAUUUGCCUUUUAAUUGGAGGCUGGAAUGAAUGGAUAUACGAGACUAAAGCUGUCUCUUUUCUGUGUAUAGAAAUUGUCUUUUAGGUGAGGAGACCUAAAUAGUAAUGAAAGACAAAAAGACCCUAUAGAGCUUUAUUUUUAUGAGAUAUUUUGGAAUAAUUUACUUUUUUACUCUAAUAAAUUUGGUUGGGGCGACAGGGGAAUAUAUAAAUCUUCCCCGGAGUAUAGGAAUCUUUUUCUUAAAACGAUCUAUUAAGAUGAUAUGGAGAAAUAGUUACCUUAGGGAUAACAGGCUAAUCCUUCCGGAGAGUUCAAAUUGAUGGGAGGGGUUGGCACCUCGAUGUUGGCUUAGAAUAACCUAUAGAUGUAGCAGUCUAUGAAGGUUGGUUUGUUCAACCAUUAAAAUUCUA
RNAcentral lists this ribosomal RNA (502 nucleotides) under Hesionura elongata. RNAcentral describes it as "partial 16S ribosomal RNA". It matches the Rfam family "Bacterial large subunit ribosomal RNA", at positions 1829 to 2598 of the family's 2925-position model. The record is from RNAcentral. Lineage: Eukaryota; Metazoa; Annelida; Polychaeta; Phyllodocida; Phyllodocidae.